Molecule: non-coding RNA, 3357 nt
Organism: Arachis ipaensis
Lineage: Eukaryota; Viridiplantae; Streptophyta; Magnoliopsida; Fabales; Fabaceae
Source: RefSeq, a predicted model, not a curated record
AUUUGCACUGCCUAUGUUUAACAUUUAAACUCUCAGCUUCUCAGCCCUGUUUGAUUCUUCAUCUCAGGCAAUUGAAUCGAAUCAACCAGGCCUUCCUUUUCUUUUUCUUUUAGCUGAUUCUUAAUUUUUCUAAUAUAUGUAGCUUUCUGAAUCAAGUGGAUCAGAUUAGGUAGUUUUCUUGAUUUGGUAUAUUUUCGGAGACGCAUUAGAAGAGCUAUUUUAUUAUUAUGUUUGCUAUAAUAAUAUUCACAUGUUCUGUAUGCUUGUGAUUGUUUCGGUGUUUACAUUUUCUUUCCAAGUCACUUGCUGUGGUUGGUCUUUGAGUUAAGGCUUUGUAUGUGUGUGUGAGAAUAUGUGAUAAUGUUGAAUGCUGUUGCAUCUAAUAGGAGUUCUUGGAGUACCCUCAUCUUUGGUCCUUUAUAAUUUAUUUAUUAUUUUAUUCUAAAAUGGUUUUUCCGGUUGGACCGAUUGGACCAAUGAACCAGUGACUAAAGCGGUUUAAUGACUGAUCCGGUUUUCAGAACCUUGAUGAUUAGUUCUCUGAAAAUGUUCUGGUUUUGUUUUGAUUUUAAUAUUAAUUUUAUAUUGAUUUACUCUGUGAUUUUGAUUUGGAAAUUGGUUCUCUGGAAAUGCUAUUUUGAUUUUAAUAUUGAUUUGGUGUAGUGCUAUUCUGAUUUUGAUUUGGUAAUUGGUUAUCUAAAAAUGCUGUUCUGAUUUUGUGUUGUUUUUAAUAUUGAUUUUGGUCAUUGCUUUGUUUUGGUCAUUGAUUUAAAAUAGAAAAAUAUUACCACAAUUAUGAAGAUUUGUAUAUGGUUGAUUGGUUUGGUGGCUUCUACUCAUGUGCUAUUAUUUUGAGUCUCCUUGAACAGUUCAAUGCAAAUAAGUUUGAUUUUGUUGUUAAUUUUUGGAUGUCAUAAAUCAGAAAAGUGUUUUGGUUCACUAAGUAUAGUGAAUUUGUCUAUUUGUGCCGGUAGAUAGGUUGAAGGUGCUUUUGUUACGUGAUAACUAGUGUCUUUGGUGGGUUUUGUUUGAUUUAUAGGUGCUAAUGCUAGUGUGUAGUCAUGGAAGUGAUAGUAACAUUAGUAUUAGAGUUAUGGUUAUGAAUUGCUUAUAUUUUUAUUCUUUGUUGCUGUUGUAGUUUGUCUCUUUAAAACCAGAAAAAAGGGAAUCAAAUAGUGCGUCUCUCGGUAGCUGCCACUAUCUUAGACAUUGAGUUGCACUACGUUUGAUGUCAGUUGAAGCUUAUACAAUUUGCUGCUCUUAGGCUCUUCUCGAAGCCUUUUACACUUCUCAGUUCCCACCAGCCACCAGCACCGAAGACUUCUUCCUAGUUCCCAGCGAGCACCGACCCAGCAGCCAGCAGCGUUCUUCCCAGCAGCCGCGCCUAGCCACGCCAGCGAGCAUCGACCCAGGAACAUAACUAUAAGUCAGCUUGGGGAGAAAUCCAUUUUUGUAAGUUGGCCAAUACACAUUGUCGAAAAAUCUGAUCCUCUCGGUAAGGCUUCAAAACAAAACUGGAUUCAGUGUCCAUCUUAGUGUUAAGCCGGUUACAGUGUUCUUAAAUUGAAAUAAUUUUAGUUAAAAAAAACAAUCAUAAAAAAAAAAAAAAUCAUAAAAGGCAAAAAAUUAUACCAGUUUCUAUAUCUUUGAAAGAGGAAAUCAAGUUGAUGAUAGCAUAACUUCUCAACUUCAACAUUGUCAGGCUUGUCUGUAAAUGAACAGUUAAUGACUUGUGAAAUUAUUGGUCUCAAAUUCUGGACAUUAUGCAUUUGUUUUUCAUUAAUAUUAGUGGCAUUCUGGCUUUCCAUAUUCGUCAAAAUAUCACGAAACUGCCUAAAGCGGGAUAAUUCAACUUUAAUGGAAUCGAUAUUCAAAUUACCAUGGUAUUCUCCUCCAUGAACAUCUUUUUCAAAACCGCCAAAACACGUUUGAAAUCAGUAUAAAUUCCUCCCUUAUGUACAACCAUGUUGCUGGUUGUUUCUGGAAUUUCUCUUCCAAUCAAAUACUUAAGCUCUGUUUAUAAUAGUCCGUGAUUGCCUUUCUUUCGGAGAGAUGCAGACAAUGCCUUCUAAGACAAUUUUUAUAGUUGGUAUUGUAGAAAAUUUAUCUUUGAUACCAUCUUUUAACAGUAUCAAAGUCAGCAUUUUUACCAAAUCCAUGAACCACUGCUUUUUGUGGAAGGAAAAAGGGAGUGGUUCAUGAAUUUGGUGAAAAUGCUGACUUUGAUACCGUUAAAAGAUGGUAUCAAAGACAAAUUUUCUGCAAUAUCAACUAUGAAAAUUGCCUCCGAAUGCAUUUUUUGCAUCUCUUCAAAGGAAAGGCAAUCACGGGCUAUUAUAAACAGAGCUUUAAGUAUUUGGAUGGAAGAGAAAUUCCAGAAGCAAACAGCAACAGAUUGGUGGUUGUACAUAAGGGUGGAAUUUAUACUGAUCUUCAAACAUGUUUUGGCGGUUUUGAAAAAGAUGUUCAUGGAGGGGAAUACCAUGGUAAUUUAAAUAUCGAUUUCAUUAAAGUUGAAUUAUCCCGCUUUAGGCAGUUUCGUGGUAUUUUGACGAUAUAGAAAGACAGAAUGCCACUAAUAUUAAUGAAAAACAAAUGCAUGAUGUCCAGACUCUGAGACCAAUAAUUUCACAAGUCAUUAAUUGUCCAUUUAUUGACAAGCCUGACAAUGUUGAAGUUGAGAAGCUAUGCUAUCAUCAACUUGAUUUUCUCUUUUAAAGAUAUAGAAACCGGUAUAAUUUUUUUUUGCCUUCUAUGAUUUUUUUUAUGAUUGUUUUUUUUUAACAGAAAUUAUUUCAAUUUAGGAACCAUGUAACCGGCUUAACACUAAGAUGAACGCUGAAUUCAGUUUUGUUUUGGAGCCUCACCAAGAGAAUCAGAAUUUUGAACAAUGUGUAUUAGCUGGUUUAUAGAAAUGGAUUUCUUUCCAAGCUGACUUAUAAUUAUAUUGUCUCUGCAUUUGGACAAUGGGUAUUUAAAGAAAAUAUACAUCCAGCGAUGUCUACGGUCUACAAUCAUGCAAAAGACAAAUAUCCUGACGAGUUUAUAAAAACUGCAUGCAACAUUUAGAUUUCCUGGAAAUCCAAAAUGAAAAGUAAUACUCCUUUAUUUAACUUAUAUGUGGAAGGAUUAGACAUUUAAAACAUUUAAAAAAGCAAACUAUUGUUAGAGAGCAUUGGUAGUGGAACAGUUCUCUGAAUUGGCAGGAACCUGAGCAAGAGGUUGUUCCUUAUUUUUUUAAUGGGACGUUACUUUACUGUACUUUACAGUGCAGUUAUUGAAUUCAGUUUAUAAGUUUAGUACUGAUAAAUUUUGUUCCACUAUACAAUAUCAGCUGUAUCACCUGCUUUAUUUAGU